GAUGAACGCUGGCGGCGUGCCUAAUACAUGCAAGUCGAGCGAACAGACGAGGAGCUUGCUCCUCUGACGUUAGCGGCGGACGGGUGAGUAACACGUGGAUAACCUACCUAUAAGACUGGGAUAACUUCGGGAAACCGGAGCUAAUACCGGAUAAUAUAUUGAACCGCAUGGUUCAAUAGUGAAAGACGGUUUUGCUGUCACUUAUAGAUGGAUCCGCGCCGCAUUAGCUAGUUGGUAAGGUAACGGCUUACCAAGGCAACGAUGCGUAGCCGACCUGAGAGUGUCGCCGCCCCCCCUGCACCGGAGACACGCCCCAGCCCCCUCCGGGAGGAGCCAGGCGGGAUUCUUCCGCAAGGGGCGAAGCCCUGGCGGACCAGCCCCGCGUGAGUGAUGAAGUUCUUGGGAUCGAAAACCUUUUUUUUGGGGGAAAAAAAAAUGUGUAAGUAACUAUGCACGUUUUGACGGUCCCUAACCAAAAGGCCCCGCCUAACUCCGUC
This 497-nucleotide ribosomal RNA is filed under the name uncultured bacterium. RNAcentral's name for it is "partial 16S ribosomal RNA". It matches the Rfam family "Bacterial small subunit ribosomal RNA", at positions 28 to 507 of the family's 1533-position model. The record is from RNAcentral.